UACGAAGGGGGGCUAGCGUUGCUCGGAAUUACUGGGCGUAAAGCGCACGUAGGCGGCUUGUUAAGUCAGGGGUGAAAUCCUGGAGCUCAACUCCAGAACUGCCUUUGAUACUGGCGAGCUUGAGUUCGGGAGAGGUGAGUGGAACUGCGAGUGUAGAGGUGAAAUUCGUAGAUAUUCGCAAGAACACCAGUGGCGAAGGCGGCGACCUGGUCCAUUACUGACGCUGAGGCGCGACAGCGUGGGGGAGCAAACAGGG
RNAcentral lists this ribosomal RNA (256 nucleotides) under uncultured bacterium. Its description in RNAcentral is "partial 16S ribosomal RNA". It matches the Rfam family "Bacterial small subunit ribosomal RNA", at positions 524 to 777 of the family's 1533-position model. The record is from RNAcentral.